Molecule: long non-coding RNA, 2280 nt
Organism: Gasterosteus aculeatus aculeatus (three-spined stickleback)
Lineage: Eukaryota; Metazoa; Chordata; Actinopteri; Perciformes; Gasterosteidae
Source: Ensembl
AAAGGAUUCAGACUACGGCGUUUAUAUGUUCAACAAUAGGAAACGCAGUCUUAGCUGUUUUUAAAUUACACCAAGUUUAUUUCGGAUUAUUCCAAGAAGAAUACAAGGCGCAGGGAACUUUAAGGUGCGUAAACGCCACUUAGAGGUGGGUAAACGCUAUUUAUUGCUGCGUAAACGCUAUUUCCAAAAUUCUAGAGGUGCGUAAACGGCGUUUACGUGCGUUUACCCUCCACUACAGCCCUGAGUACAAUAUUAAGUGGUAGUGUUGUAGAAGUAUGAAGCAUCAUUAAAUAAAAAUACCCAAGUAACAAACAAUACAAUGUUAACUCCAGUUUGUUCCAUCAGAAUAUUUAAACAUCUAGUUUGUUUUUCUCAGUAAAUACUUCACAUAUUUAAAGUAUUUUGGGUUUUUAGGACUUUACACCUGGUGAGGUCACUUUCACUCAGUGGCAGCUGGUGGAUUUUUUUGUUGGUAGGGCCAGCUUAUCAGUUUCAGUAAACAUCGCAGACAAGUGAAGUUUGUCAAAACUAAAAGCUGAUUAAAACAUAUUUGAGAUCAACAAUGUCCCAGGAGAGGCUGUUUGCACUCGCUGUUCUCUCCAUUGAGCAGGAAGUCAGUGGAUAUGGAUCCUCAUUGCAAGAUUUGCUGAAACCAAGGCUCGCAAAAUAAGAUUUUAAGGACAAAAGGGAGAAAAUACAAAGAAAAAGGGACAGGAAGAUGUGUAAAAGGGACAGAAGAGAAAAAGGGAGAGAGAUGAUGUGAAAAAGGGGCAGGAAGAGAGGGACAACAGGUAAAACAAAUAAUACAUGUGUCUUAUGUUUAAAAUGUAUCUGUAUAAUUGACCUGUAUUGUGUGUUGUCUUCUCAUGUCAGCGCCACAACAUAGAGGACAGCUUCUACUGGCUUGCUGCUACCCACCUCUGCCACCUGAGCUGUGUAAAGUAUGUGUUGGAGGAAACAUGAGAGAGUGUUAGGAGAGCGGCUCCGACCCCCAACGCAUGUGGCCAGGCAUCCAGGCCAUCAUGACCAUAAGGCAACCAACUCUACCCCCCGAAACAGUGACGCCUCCUUCCCUGACGAGCUGAGCAGCUUUUACGCUCGCGUCGACAGGGACAAUGAGGACGUGGCCUGUACAUCUCCUUGAAUGACAUGUUGCAGUAAAGUACAUUUACACCAUUUAAAGCCCUCAAAGACUCUCACACUAAACUUACCAGGGAGGAGAUGAUCUGCAGGAUCCUGGUGAUCUUCAUCCUGACCUCCUGUGUCUGUGCAGGGUCAUUUGUAGUCAAUGUGACACAGAGCUGGUAUCAUGCAGAGGAGAACCACAACGUCUCACUGGAAUGGAUGUUCCCCACCAGCACGGACCACUCCACCAACUCCCUUUAUGUCUCAUGCGAGAUGUUAGUUGAUAUGAUACCAUUACUCAUGUUUCAUCUACAUAAAGGUGUUGAGUUCCCAGAGUUGCAGGACAAACGCUUUGCAGGACGAGUCCAGUGGGACAAAGACGUCCUCGGAGAAGGACAACUCAGACUUCACAUCUCCAGACUCCAGACUAAUGACUCGGGGCUGUACUGGUGUGAAGUGGACACAAGUUAUGGGAGGAACUUUAAGGAAUGUCACCUCAACGUCACCGGUAGGUUCAUUAAGUUAAAUUUACUAACACGUUCAGCAACUUCAUUCAGAUACAUUUUUUUUUUCUUUACAUGAAUAAAAAAUAUUUCUCUGGUCUCUUUGCAGCAGUGAAGGAUCGGCCUGAGACAACAAGUGAUACGAGUCUGAGAAGAAGUCCUCAGGGAAUGAUCGGCCUCUACUCUGCACUGGGACUGACCGCUGUACUGGGUUUUUAUUUAUUUUAUCUCUGCAUGGCAAAAAAUAUUAGAGAUCAACACAACAAACGAACCACAUCUGUAUCUUGGACAUCUUGGAUCUUGUAAAGUGGACGUUACAAUUUAAUUGUGUUGUUGUGCAACUGGUCAGACCGGCCGUCUGAGGAACUAGCUUUUUCCCAGAGCUGUUACAUUACAUUACAGGUCACCCUUUUGAACUCUUUCCCCCCCCUCUGGUCCCCAUUACACUACUCUAUCUGCACUGAAGACACUUUAUACCAUUUGUUUACUCUCAAUUCAAUAUGCACUUAAUAUUUGCACUAGUUUAGCAACCCCUGAUGGUUUCUGUUUAUAUCUCCACAUUUAAUGUGAAUCUGUCUGUUUUGCCUAAUUUAUUACCAAAUAGUACCAUAGGCCAUAAGACAACCUCUGUAUAGUGUUUAAUGUAUCUAUG